CCGUGAUCCGGGUUGCGGACAGUGUCUGGUGGGUAGUUUGACUGGGGCGGUCUCCUCCUAAAGAGUAACGGAGGAGCACGAAGGUUGGCUAAUCCUGGUCGGACAUCAGGAGGUUAGUGCAAUGGCAUAAGCCAGCUUGACUGCGAGCGUGACGGCGCGAGCAGGUGCGAAAGCAGGUCAUAGUGAUCCGGUGGUUCUGAAUGGAAGGGCCAUCGCUCAACGGAUAAAAGGUACUCCGGGGAUAACAGGCUGAUACCGCCCAAGAGUUCAUAUCGACGGCGGUGUUUGGCACCUCGAUGUCGGCUCAUCACAUCCUGGGGCUGAAGUAGGUCCCAAGGGUAUGGCUGUUCGCCAUUUAAAGUGGUACGCGAGCUGGGUUUAGAACGUCGUGAGACAGUUCGGUCCCUAUCUGCCGUGGGCGCUGGAGAACUGAGGGGGGCUGCUCCUAGUACGAGAGGACCGGAGUGGACGCAUCACUGGUGUUCGGGUUGUCAUGCCAAUGGCACUGCCCGGUAGCUAAAUGCGGAAGAGA
This 532-nucleotide ribosomal RNA is filed under the name Escherichia coli. RNAcentral describes it as "partial 23S ribosomal RNA". It matches the Rfam family "Bacterial large subunit ribosomal RNA", at positions 2233 to 2764 of the family's 2925-position model. The record is from RNAcentral. Lineage: Bacteria; Pseudomonadati; Pseudomonadota; Gammaproteobacteria; Enterobacterales; Enterobacteriaceae.